RNAcentral lists this ribosomal RNA (525 nucleotides) under uncultured bacterium. Its description in RNAcentral is "bacterial SSU rRNA". It matches the Rfam family "Bacterial small subunit ribosomal RNA", at positions 981 to 1501 of the family's 1533-position model. The record is from RNAcentral.
UGGACAUCUAGCGAAGAUUGCAGAGAUGCAGGUUGUGCCUUUCGGGAAACGCUAAGACAGGUGCUGCAUGGCUGUCGUCAGCUCGUGUUGUGAAAUGUUGGGUUAAGUCCCGCAACGAGCGCAACCCUUUAUCCUUAGUUGCCAGCACGUAAUGGUGGGAACUCUAGGGAGACUGCCGGUGAUAAACCGGAGGAAGGUGGGGACGACGUCAAGUCAUCAUGGCCCUUACGAGUAGGGCUACACACGUGCUACAAUGGUACGUACAGAGGGAGGCAAGCUGGCGACAGUGAGCGGAUCUCUUAAAGCGUAUCGUAGUCCGGAUCGCAGUCUGCAACUCGACUGCGUGAAGUCGGAAUCGCUAGUAAUCGCAAAUCAGAAUGUUGCGGUGAAUACGUUCCCGGGCCUUGUACACACCGCCCGUCACACCAUGGGAGUGGGUUGCAAAAGAAGUAGGUAGCUUAACCUUCGGGAGGGCGCUUACCACUUUGUGAUUCAUGACUGGGGUGAAGUCGUAACAAGGUAACC